RNAcentral lists this ribosomal RNA (400 nucleotides) under uncultured bacterium. Its description in RNAcentral is "bacterial SSU rRNA". It matches the Rfam family "Bacterial small subunit ribosomal RNA", at positions 30 to 430 of the family's 1533-position model. The record is from RNAcentral.
AUUGAACGCUGGCGGCAUGCCUUACACAUGCAAGUCGAACGGCAGCACGGGAGCAAUCCUGGUGGCGAGUGGCGAACGGGUGAGUAAUAUAUCGGAACGUGCCCAGUCGUGGGGAUAACGUAGCGAAAGCUACGCUAAUACCGCAUACGAUCUAUGGAUGAAAGCGGGGGAUCGCAAGACCUCGCGCGAUUGGAGCGGCCGAUAUCAGAUUAGGUAGUUGGUGAGGUAAAGGCUCACCAAGCCGACGAUCUGUAGCUGGUCUGAGAGGACGACCAGCCACACUGGGACUGAGACACGGCCCAGACUCCUACGGGAGGCAGCAGUGGGGAAUUUUUGGGACAAUGGGCGCAAGCCUGAUCCAGCAAUGCCGCGUGCAGGAUGAAGGCCUUCGGUUGGUAAC